This 1409-nucleotide ribosomal RNA is filed under the name uncultured bacterium. RNAcentral describes it as "bacterial SSU rRNA". It matches the Rfam family "Bacterial small subunit ribosomal RNA". The record is from RNAcentral.
AGAGUUUGAUCCUGGCUCAGGAUGAACGCUGGCGGCGUGCUUAACACAUGCAAGUCGAACGAAGCACUUUGGACAGAUUCUUCGGAUGAAGUCCUUAGUGACUGAGUGGCGGACGGGUGAGUAACGCGUGGGUAACCUGCCUCAUACAGGGGGAUAACAGUUAGAAAUGGCUGCUAAUACCGUAUAAGCGCACGGUACUGCAUGGUACAGUGUGAAAAACUCCGGUGGUAUGAGAUGGACCCGCGUUGGAUUAGCUAGUUGGGAGGGUAACGGCCUACCAAGGCGACGAUCCAUAGCCGGCCUGAGAGGGUGGACGGCCACAUUGGGACUGAGACACGGCCCAGACUCCUACGGGAGGCAGCAGUGGGGAAUAUUGCACAAUGGGGGAAACCCUGAUGCAGCGACGCCGCGUGAGUGAGGAAGUAUUUCGGUAUGUAAAGCUCUAUCAGCAGGGAAGAAGAAAUGACGGUACCUGACUAAGAAGCCCCCGGCUAACUACGUUGCCAGCAGCCGCGGUAAUACGUAGGGGGCAAGCGUUAUUCCGGAUUUUAUCUGGGUGUAAAGGGAGCGCAGGCGGCAGUAUAAGUCUGAUGUGAAAGCCCGAGGCUCAACCCCGGGGCUGCAUUUGAAACUGUUGUGCUGGAGUGUAGGGAGAGGUAAGGGGGAAUUCCUAGUGUAGCGGUGAAAAUGCGUAGAUAUUAGGAGGAACACCAGUGGCGAAGGCGGCUUACUGGACGGUAACUGACGUUGAGGCUCGAAAGCGUGGGGAGCAAACAAGAUUAGAUACCCUGGUAGUUCCACCCCGGUAAACAGAUGACUACUAGGAGUCGGGGCAGCAAAGCUGUUCGGUGCCGCAGCAAAACGCGAUUAAGUAGUCCACCUGGGGGAGUACGUUCGCAAGAAUGAAACUCAAAGGAAUUGACGGGGACCCGCACAAGCGGUGGAGCAUGUGGGUUUAAUUCGAAGCAACGCGAAGAACCUUACCUGCUCUUGACAUCUCCCUGACCGGCAAGUAAUGUUGCCUUUCCUUCAGGACAGGGAUGACAGGUGGUGCAUGGUUGUCGUCAGCUCGUGUCGUGAGAUGUUGGGUUAAGGUCCCGCAACGAGCGCAACCCCUAUCUUUAGUAGCCAGCGGUUUGGCCGGGCACUCUAGAGAGACUGCCAGGGAUAACCUGGAGGAAGGCGGGGAUGACGUCAAAUCAUCAUGCCCCUUAUGAUUUGGGCUACACACGUGCUACAAUGGCGUAAACAAAGGGAAGCGAGAUUGUGAGAUGGAGCAAAUCCCAAAAAUAACGUCCCAGUUCGGACUGUAGUCUGCAACCCGACUACACGAAGCUGGAAUCGCUAGUAAUCGCGGAUCAGAAUGUCGCGGUGAAUACGUUCCCGGGUCUUGCACUCACCGCCCGUCA